Molecule: ribosomal RNA, 2554 nt
Filed under: Dinema litorale
Lineage: Eukaryota; Euglenozoa; Anisonemea; Anisonemida; Anisonematidae
Description: partial small subunit ribosomal RNA
Source: RNAcentral
GUCAUAUGCUUCUUUCAAGGACUAAGCCAUGCAAGUGUGGGAGUACACUGUGCAACAACCUGCCCCCCGAAUACUGUUGGUCUGCGGAUGGCUCAUUAAAUUCAGCAAACAUCUGACCAGCAGUCGUACCUGUAGGUCUGUCAGUACGUCUUCUUCAUGUGCGGGAGCCCGUAGCGCGAGAGGCCUGCAGGGUCCACGUUGUGGAUACCCGGGCUAACUGUCUGGCUAAUACAUGCAAAGUUUAUGGCCCCUUCCCAGGCCUCUCUGGGUCGGGACGGGCGGCGGUUGGUCGGCAAGAAAGACAGGUGCCUCGUGUGUGAGAGCAGCAUGCAUCGGCGAGACAGACCCACUGAGUAUGUGUGCAUGGGAUCCAUCCAUCUUGGGUGCCCAUGCCACCACAUACCCAUUUCAGUUACAGCAGUUGUGCGCGACGCGUGUCACUGCAUGCUGGAUGAAUUUCUGCCCUAUCAGCUUUCGACUGUGGUGUAGUGGACCAUCGUGGCUGUCACGGGUAACGGGGAAUGAGGGUUUGAUUCCGGAGAGGGAGCCCUAGAAACGGCUACCACCGUCAAGGCGGGCAGCAGGCGCGCAAAUUGCCCACUGUUGGCACAGUACCAAACGAGGCAGCGACGAGAAAUGACAACACCGCCAGUCCAACGUGACGGGUGGUGUUUUGUAGUGGAUGCUAUAUGUAAAUGCAGCAGUGAGUUUCAACUGGAGGGCAAGUCUGGUGCCAGCAGCCGCGGUAAUUCCAGCUCCAGUAGCGUAUACUGACGUUGCUGCUGUUAAAAAGCUCGUAGUUGAUUGCAGAGUGGAUGGUGCUGCAGGCAAGGGCACCCGCCUCGGGGUUCAUCCGCGCGCCGGCCCUCGGGCCGUGCAAAGGUGGCUCCGUAAUGUGGUGCUCAUCGUGUGGGGAAUGGUCUAGGCGUGCAAGGUGGUGCACAACUGUGUGGUACCUUGCCGCUUCAGUUCUGGACCCCAUGCUCCCUGCAGUCGUCCCUCCACUCGCCAAACACGGAAUUGGGUUCCUCUGCAGUCGCCCUCCUUAGGUGGUGGCGUGGCUGCGUGCAGCCGCACAGAAUGCGUGCUUGCUGUGAACACUCCCGCCCCCGUGGUUUUGUCCCACGGAGGUGGUGUUUGGGGGAUGUUCGUGGCCGUUAACGUGAACAAAACAGCGUGUUCAAGGYAGGCGACUAGYUGGUCAGUAUGCUGGAGCAUGGCAUAACAAGGAAUCGUCCAGCGGGUGCCCUUCUCAGGGCUCUGCCAAUCUACCUGACACUGUGUGUAUACGUUUUUCCUAGCAGCCCGUCCUGGGCAACACGGGGCCAUCCCAGGGCUUGCAACAGGUGUCUGUCUGUCCACUGAUCUUUGCCGGCCUCGCGGUCGGCAGUCAGCUGCGUCGCUCUCACUCUGUGCAGCUCAUGUGGUUGGCUUUCUGAUCGGAACCGAGGGGACGGUUCAGUGCCGUACGUACUGUACCGCGAGGGGUGAAAUCCUUAGACCGGUGCAUGACGAACCGAGGCGAAGGCGUUCCUGGCAGGGACACGUCUGUCAAUCAAGAACGAGAGUUUGGGGAUCGAAGAUGAUCAGAUACCGCCGUAGUCCAAUGACCGUAAGCUGUGCCAGCUUGGUGUCAGGGGUGUGUUCCCAUCCAUUUUGGUACGUAACCUCUGGCACCGUCCCCCCACAUCGAGAAAUCCAAAAGCGUGUGGGUUCAGGGGGGAGUACGACCGCAAGGCUGAAACUUAAAGGAAUUGACGGAAUGACACCACAAGACGUGGAGUUUGCGGCUUAAUUUGACUCAACACGGGGAACGUUACCGGGUCAGGACACAGCAAGGAUGGACAGAUUGAGGGCUCUUUCUUGAUCCUCUGGAGGGUGGUGCAUGGCCGUUCCUGGUUGGUGGAGUGAUUUGUCUGGUUGAUUCCGAUAACGAGCGAGAUCUCUGCCUUUCAAUAGUGAUGGGUCUCGUUUCUGUAGGAAGGGUGUGAAAGAGGUGGUAACCGUUUGCUUUGGGCUUGCUCAGCGUGGGGGUGCAACUGUAAUUUGCUUAGCCGUUUCCGAGAGUGCUCACAGCUUCUCACAGGGGCCGCGUGCGCUGCCAAGCACACGUACGCCAGAGCCGACAGCAGGUCUGUGAUGCUCCUAAAUGUCCCGGGCCGCACGCGUACUACACUGGUGUGCACAACAAGUCUGUUCGAACCCCUUUGCAUCUUUGCACUGGGUCCUCUCCCGACGGGGACGGGGCAAGCUUGGAAGACCAUGCCGUGAUGGGGAUGGAUGAUUGCAACUAUUUGCCUUGAACGAGGAAUGCCUAGUAUGCGCAGGUCAUCAGCCUGCACAGACUAUGUCCCUGCCAUUUGUACACACCGCCCGUCGUUGCUACCGAUGGUGUGAGGAUAGGGCUAGUCAGUAUUACAGUGUGGCUCACGACCGCCUGACCCGAAUUCAACGGCUGUUGGUACGGAAACCUGCUCCACUCCAGCCCUCAACCACUGUGUACAAACGUCUCUCCCGAUUGAAUAACCGCAACUGCAACCAAGAUCCGUACUGC